RNAcentral lists this transfer RNA (75 nucleotides) under Viviania marifolia. RNAcentral's name for it is "tRNA-His". The record is from RNAcentral. Lineage: Eukaryota; Viridiplantae; Streptophyta; Magnoliopsida; Geraniales; Francoaceae.
GGCGAACGACGGGAAUUGAACCCGCACAUGAUGGAUCCACAACCCAUUGCCUUUGAUCCAUUUGGCUACAUCCGC